This 465-nucleotide ribosomal RNA is filed under the name Vreelandella stevensii. RNAcentral's name for it is "partial 16S ribosomal RNA". It matches the Rfam family "Bacterial small subunit ribosomal RNA", at positions 338 to 795 of the family's 1533-position model. The record is from RNAcentral. Lineage: Bacteria; Pseudomonadati; Pseudomonadota; Gammaproteobacteria; Oceanospirillales; Halomonadaceae.
CCUACGGGGGGCUGCAGUGGGGAAUAUUGGACAAUGGGGGGAACCCUGAUCCAGCCAUGCCGCGUGUGUGAAGAAGGCCCUCGGGUUGUAAAGCACUUUCAGUGAGGAAGAACGCCUGGUGGUUAAUACCCAUCAGGAAAGACAUCACUCACAGAAGAAGCACCGGCUAACUCCGUGCCAGCAGCCGCGGUAAUACGGAGGGUGCGAGCGUUAAUCGGGAUUACUGGGCGUAAAGCGCGCGUAGGUGGCUUGAUAAGCCGGUUGUGAAAGCCCCGGGCUCAACCUGGGAACGGCAUCCGGAACUGUCAAGCUAGAGUGCAGGAGAGGAAGGUAGAAUUCCCGGUGUAGCGGUGAAAUGCGUAGAGAUCGGGAGGAAUACCAGUGGCGAAGGCGGCCUUCUGGACUGACACUGACACUGAGGUGCGAAAGCGUGGGUAGCAAACAGGAUUAGAUACCCCAGUAGUC